Long non-coding RNA from Pyrus x bretschneideri (Chinese white pear), 1185 nucleotides. RefSeq lists it as uncharacterized. The transcript is spliced from 4 exons. Lineage: Eukaryota; Viridiplantae; Streptophyta; Magnoliopsida; Rosales; Rosaceae. The record is from RefSeq and is a predicted model, not a curated record.
CUAAUGUCACGAACACGUCUCCACGUCAAUAGACAUUUGAUAGACACCUUCCCAAAAAUUUUAAUUUUAUUUUAGCGCCCUCUUUUUCCUAUUAGGCGCCUUAAUUUCAUAUGAAAAAUUCCACCAGUUUUCAAUUUUGUUGGUAAAGUUAGCGGCUGCCUCUCAAAUUCUAUAUCUCCACAAAACUCUAUCUCCGUCUCUUUGCCUAUAUUCUCCCGAUCUCUCAAACUCUCAGUCCUCUUACGGUCUCUCGUUCAUUGAGCUUGAUUUGGAUUGGUCUCUCUCAGUUGUCGGGCUUUGUUUUUGGGUUCUCUGCAUCUGCCGGUGACGAGCCUCACACUCACCACCACGGCUGCGGUUACGGCAUCGGACACGGCCAUGGCCACGAAGAGGAGAAAUCUGGUCCUUGACAAAACCAUCAGAGACUGGGUUCUCAUCUUCCUUACCGCUUCUUUUACAACUGCUGCCCCCACGCAGCCUUAUUGUGAUUUUAUCUAUUUGUUAUUGGAUAAUGUAGCUUAAUCUUUAACCGUUGGAUUGAUUUUAGAGGAAAAAGAAAAGAACAAUUUUUGCAUGCUUGAAAGUUAAUUCCUUGUUUGUUGCUUAAUGUUGAUGAUGAUUGUAUUUAACUGGCAGGGUUAUGUGUUAAAUUGGAUACAUAGUUUCACUAUCAGGUUUGGAUUCCCAGUGUUGGUUUAAGGUAUUGGUCGGCUUAAAGAAAUCAAGGGACAACAGUUCAAAACUUUUGAAGGCUAGAAAAUUUACGGCGUUUCAAAGGGAUUGUAAGAUUGCAAAUAAUGACCCAAGCUUAUCAUGUUACAAAGCAAGCUACAACUAUAUUGAGCUAUCUUCACUCAUGGAGCAAAGUACAUGCUGAUGUUAAAGCUCACCAACUCUGUAUGGUAACAGAAGACGGAUCAAGCAAAACAAAUAGAGAGUCAACAAAAACUUUAGGCGAAGUUUCAUUAUAUAAAGGAAAAUGGAUUUUUAAUUGUUCCUAAAGGUCAGGCACAGAAUCACAACCACGACCACGACCACAAGCCUCACACUCAUUGGUGUAUAAUGUAUACGACCAUUCAACUAACUUUAAGUAAAACUAUAUUGGUGUUUUCAUAAUUUUGUCGUACUUGUAUAUGAUAAUACAAUGCAAAUUUUUCAAUAAUAAUAUGUUUCUAGUUUGUAAAA